This 1171-nucleotide long non-coding RNA is filed under the name Gallus gallus (chicken). Its description in RNAcentral is "lncRNA (ENSGALG00010003459.1)". Lineage: Eukaryota; Metazoa; Chordata; Aves; Galliformes; Phasianidae. The record is from RNAcentral.
CAUCAUGUAUUUCUUAUUUGUUUAUUUUACAGAGCAACACAUUGUAGAAGGGGAUAUAAGUGCUGAAAAUCUGAAGGAACAAGCUACAAAAUUGGGUGAGUCCUCCCUCCCAAAUUAGAAAAAAAAGACAUUCAGGCUAUGUGAGGUGUGGGACGAGAUAUUCCUGUCACCAUGUAUUGCUUUUCUCUUUGUUUUCCAGUGGAACAAACUAAAGAAUCAGGUGAGUCUUCUUCCCUGAAUGAAAGGACUAUGGGGUUUCCCAUGCAAUGACAAGCUGUCCCACCUCAUCAAGUGUUGCAUUUCCUUUUCAGUAGUAGAAUCUGAAGAAUCAGAGAUUCAGAAUUCACUGCUGAAGGAACACUGCGAACGGAUGGAAUUAAGUCUUGCAGAUCUGAGUAAGUCUUCCUCCCUACACAGAAGGAAUCUGGGGUCUUCCCAUGGCAUUAGCCAUACGAUGAUCAUCUCACCCUUCCCAUUAUGUAUUUCUUAACUGUUUCUUUUGCAGAGAAACUAGCUGCAAGACUGGGUGAGUGCUCCCUCCCAAAUUAACAAAAUAAAAGGCAGUCUUCCUGUGUGAGCUGUGGGGAUGAGAUGUUCCUCUCAUCAUGUGUUGCUUUUCUCUUUCAUUUCCAGAGGAAGAAGCUGAAUAAGUGGAAAAACCAUCUGAAGACUUGGAUUGAGAGAUGAACUGCGCCUCACAGUAACCACAGGAGUUAAGCUUCAUAGAUCAAUGACUGCACAGCAUACAGAAACCACGAUACCUCAAACAGAGCAAGGAAAUCCACAGCGAGAACAAGAGGAGCCAGUGUUUGUGUUGAGUGAGAACACUGCAGUUCUGUCAGAUAAGGCUGCCUGAGGGACCACCAAACUGAGGGUGUGUGACCUCCAACUCAAAUCCAAUUGGAAGAAACUAUAGAAAGGAAGACUACAAGAGGAAGACAGAGAUCCUGGAAAAGGGAUAGACGUUUUGGGAAUUAACAUGGCCAUGUAUCAGGGUUUGAGGAAUUCUAAUGUAUAUAUAAGGCUUUUGGAAAUAUAAACAUGCACACAGAAGCAAAGGAAAAAAACUGCUUUGGGUGUUAAUACUGUUCUCUGUCCCUAUAUAAUAAAGAAUACCUGCAGAUGGUAAUGGAUCAUUGAUUGUGAUCAGUUAUUGGGGUUUGGUUCCAUG